GGGUUGUGAGGUUAAGCGACUAAGCGUACACGGUGGAUGCCCUGGCAGUCAGAGGCGAUGAAGGACGUGCUAAUCUGCGAUAAGCGUCGGUAAGGUGAUAUGAACCGUUAUAACCGGCGAUUUCCGAAUGGGGAAACCCAGUGUGUUUCGACACACUAUCAUUAACUGAAUCCAUAGGUUAAUGAGGCGAACCGGGGGAACUGAAACAUCUAAGUACCCCGAGGAAAAGAAAUCAACCGAGAUUCCCCCAGUAGCGGCGAGCGAACGGGGAGCAGCCCAGAGCCUGAAUCAGUGUGUGUGUUAGUGGAAGCGUCUGGAAAGGCGCGCGAUACAGGGUGACAGCCCCGUACACAAAAAUGCACAUAUUGUGAGCUCGAUGAGUAGGGCGGGACACGUGGUAUCCUGUCUGAAUAUGGGGGGGACCAUCCUCCAAGGCUAAAUACUCCUGACUGACCGAUAGUGAACCAGUACCGUGAGGGAAAGGCGAAAAGAACCCCGGCGAGGGGAGUGAAAAAGAACCUGAAACCGUGUACGUACAAGCAGUGGGAGCACGCUUAGGCGUGUGACUGCGUACCUUUUGUAUAAUGGGUCAGCGACUUAUAUUCUGUAGCAAGGUUAACCGAAUAGGGGAGCCGAAGGGAAACCGAGUCUUAACUGGGCGUUAAGUUGCAGGGUAUAGACCCGAAACCCGGUGAUCUAGCCAUGGGCAGGUUGAAGGUUGGGUAACACUAACUGGAGGACCGAACCGACUAAUGUUGAAAAAUUAGCGGAUGACUUGUGGCUGGGGGUGAAAGGCCAAUCAAACCGGGAGAUAGCUGGUUCUCCCCGAAAGCUAUUUAGGUAGCGCCUCGUGAAUUCAUCUCCGGGGGUAGAGCACUGUUUCGGCAAGGGGGUCAUCCCGACUUACCAACCCGAUGCAAACUGCGAAUACCGGAGAAUGUUAUCACGGGAGACACACGGCGGGUGCUAACGUCCGUCGUGAAGAGGGAAACAACCCAGACCGCCAGCUAAGGUCCCAAAGUCAUGGUUAAGUGGGAAACGAUGUGGGAAGGCCCAGACAGCCAGGAUGUUGGCUUAGAAGCAGCCAUCAUUUAAAGAAAGCGUAAUAGCUCACUGGUCGAGUCGGCCUGCGCGGAAGAUGUAACGGGGCUAAACCAUGCACCGAAGCUGCGGCAGCGACGCUUAUGCGUUGUUGGGUAGGGGAGCGUUCUGUAAGCCUGUGAAGGUGUGCUGUGAGGCAUGCUGGAGGUAUCAGAAGUGCGAAUGCUGACAUAAGUAACGAUAAAGCGGGUGAAAAGCCCGCUCGCCGGAAGACCAAGGGUUCCUGUCCAACGUUAAUCGGGGCAGGGUGAGUCGACCCCUAAGGCGAGGCCGAAAGGCGUAGUCGAUGGGAAACAGGUUAAUAUUCCUGUACUUGGUGUUACUGCGAAGGGGGGACGGAGAAGGCUAUGUUGGCCGGGCGACGGUUGUCCCGGUUUAAGCGUGUAGGCUGGUUUUCCAGGCAAAUCCGGAAAAUCAAGGCUGAGGCGUGAUGACGAGGCACUACGGUGCUGAAGCAACAAAUGCCCUGCUUCCAGGAAAAGCCUCUAAGCAUCAGGUAACAUCAAAUCGUACCCCAAACCGACACAGGUGGUCAGGUAGAGAAUACCAAGGCGCUUGAGAGAACUCGGGUGAAGGAACUAGGCAAAAUGGUGCCGUAACUUCGGGAGAAGGCACGCUGAUAUGUAGGUGAAGUCCCUCGCGGAUGGAGCUGAAAUCAGUCGAAGAUACCAGCUGGCUGCAACUGUUUAUUAAAAACACAGCACUGUGCAAACACGAAAGUGGACGUAUACGGUGUGACGCCUGCCCGGUGCCGGAAGGUUAAUUGAUGGGGUCAGCGCAAGCGAAGCUCUUGAUCGAAGCCCCGGUAAACGGCGGCCGUAACUAUAACGGUCCUAAGGUAGCGAAAUUCCUUGUCGGGUAAGUUCCGACCUGCACGAAUGGCGUAAUGAUGGCCAGGCUGUCUCCACCCGAGACUCAGUGAAAUUGAACUCGCUGUGAAGAUGCAGUGUACCCGCGGCAAGACGGAAAGACCCCGUGAACCUUUACUAUAGCUUGACACUGAACAUUGAGCCUUGAUGUGUAGGAUAGGUGGGAGGCUUUGAAGUGUGGACGCCAGUCUGCAUGGAGCCGGCCUUGAAAUACCACCCUUUAAUGUUUGAUGUUCUAACGUGGACCCGUGAUCCGGGUUGCGGACAGUGUCUGGUGGGUAGUUUGACUGGGGCGGUCUCCUCCUAAAGAGUAACGGAGGAGCACGAAGGUUGGCUAAUCCUGGUCGGACAUCAGGAGGUUAGUGCAAUGGCAUAAGCCAGCUUGACUGCGAGCGUGACGGCGCGAGCAGGUGCGAAAGCAGGUCAUAGUGAUCCGGUGGUUCUGAAUGGAAGGGCCAUCGCUCAACGGAUAAAAGGUACUCCGGGGAUAACAGGCUGAUACCGCCCAAGAGUUCAUAUCGACGGCGGUGUUUGGCACCUCGAUGUCGGCUCAUCACAUCCUGGGGCUGAAGUAGGUCCCAAGGGUAUGGCUGUUCGCCAUUUAAAGUGGUACGCGAGCUGGGUUUAGAACGUCGUGAGACAGUUCGGUCCCUAUCUGCCGUGGGCGCUGGAGAACUGAGGGGGGCUGCUCCUAGUACGAGAGGACCGGAGUGGACGCAUCACUGGUGUUCGGGUUGUCAUGCCAAUGGCACUGCCCGGUAGCUAAAUGCGGAAGAGAUAAGUGCUGAAAGCAUCUAAGCACGAAACUUGCCCCGAGAUGAGUUCUCCCUGACUCCUUGAGAGUCCUGAAGGAACGUUGAAGACGACGACGUUGAUAGGCCGGGUGUGUAAGCGCAGCGAUGCGUUGAGCUAACCGGUACUAAUGAACCGUGAGGCUUAACCUUACAACGCCGAAGCUGUU
RNAcentral lists this ribosomal RNA (2931 nucleotides) under Escherichia coli. Its description in RNAcentral is "23S ribosomal RNA". It matches the Rfam family "Bacterial large subunit ribosomal RNA". The record is from RNAcentral. Lineage: Bacteria; Pseudomonadati; Pseudomonadota; Gammaproteobacteria; Enterobacterales; Enterobacteriaceae.